CCUACGGGAGGCAGCAGUGGGGAAUAUUACUCAAUGGGCGAAACCCUGAUGCAGCGACGCCGCGUGAGCGAUGACGUCUUUCGGUAUUUAAAGCUCUAUUAGCAGGGAAGAAGAUGACGGUACCUGAAUAAUUAGCCACGGCUAACUACGUGCCAGCAGCCGCGGUCAUACGUCAGGGGGACGCGUUAUACCGGUUUACUUGGUGUAAAGGGGGCGUUAGGGGGGAUGCAAGGUGGGUGUGAAAGCCCCGGGCUGAACCCCGGCACUGCAGUUGAAACUGUGUGGCUGGAGUUUGGGAGAGGCAGGCGGAAUUCGUAGUGUAGCGGUGAAAUGCAUAGAUAUUAGGCAGAACACCAGUGGCGAAGGCGGCCUGCUGG
This 377-nucleotide ribosomal RNA is filed under the name uncultured bacterium. RNAcentral's name for it is "partial 16S ribosomal RNA". It matches the Rfam family "Bacterial small subunit ribosomal RNA", at positions 338 to 732 of the family's 1533-position model. The record is from RNAcentral.